CACGGGGGGAGCAAGCGUUGUUCGGAAUCACUGGGCGUAAAGGGCGUGUAGGCGGUCAAGUAAGUGGAAUGUGAAAGCCCCCGGCUUACCCGGGGAUCUGCAUCCCAAACUGCUUGGCUUGAGUACGGGAGAGGAUAGGGGAAUUCCUGGUGUAGCGGUGAAAUGCGUAGAUAUCAGGAGGAACACCGGUGGCGAAGGCUCCUAUCUGGCCCGAUACUGACGCUGAGGCGCGAAAGCUAGGGGAGCAAACGGG
This 253-nucleotide ribosomal RNA is filed under the name uncultured bacterium. Its description in RNAcentral is "partial 16S ribosomal RNA". It matches the Rfam family "Bacterial small subunit ribosomal RNA", at positions 524 to 776 of the family's 1533-position model. The record is from RNAcentral.